CUUUCAUAAGAAAUGGAAGCCCAAAGUCAGAAAUCAGUAUCACUGGACUGAAGUCAAAGUAUCAGCAGGGCUGCGGUCCUAACGGAGGCUCAAGGGGAGCAGCCGUUCCUUGCCUCUUCUCAGCCUCUGGAGGCUGCAGGGCUUCCUUGGCUUGUGGCUGCAUCACUGCUCUCUACCUCUGAGGUCAGAGCAGCUUCAGUCAAUUUAGAAAGUUUAUUUUGCCAAGGCUAAGUAUGUCGCCAUGACACAGCCUCAGGAGGUCCCAACAACAUGGGCCUGAGGUGGUUGGGGUACAGCUUGGUUUUAUACAUUCUAGGGAGAUGUGAUUCGUCGAUCAACACAUGUACGAUGUACGGUGGCGUGGUCAGAAAGGCAGGACAACUUGAAGUGGGGGCUUCCAGGUCACAGUAGAUUUAAGGAUUUUCUGAUUGUCAAUUGGUUGAAAGAGUUAUUAUCAAUAGAAAGUAAUGUCUAAGUUAUGAUAAGGGGUUGUGGAGACCAAAGUUUGAUCAGCAGAUGAAGCCUCCAGGUAGCAGGCUUCAGAGGGAAUAGAUUGUAAACGUUUCUUAUCAGACUUAAAGAUCCUAUUCAAUCAGUGAUUCCAAAAGGGAGGAGGGUAACGAGGCACGUCCAGCUCCCCCUUCCCACCAUAGCCUGAAUGAGUUUUCAGGUUGACUUUACAAUGCCCUUGGCUGAAUGGAGAGGUCCAUUCAGAUGGUUGUAGGGCUUAGAAUUUUAUUUUUGGUUUACAAGUGGAAGCUUCCUGAGUCCUUACCAGAAGCAGAUGCCAGUGCCAUGCUUCCUGUACAGCCUGCAGAACCAUGAGCCAAAUAAACCUCUUUGCUUUGUAAAUUACCCAGCAUCAGUAUUCC
This 872-nucleotide long non-coding RNA is filed under the name Homo sapiens (human). RNAcentral's name for it is "non-protein coding lnc-GLRX3-7:1". The record is from RNAcentral. Lineage: Eukaryota; Metazoa; Chordata; Mammalia; Primates; Hominidae.